This 253-nucleotide ribosomal RNA is filed under the name uncultured bacterium. RNAcentral's name for it is "partial 16S ribosomal RNA". It matches the Rfam family "Bacterial small subunit ribosomal RNA", at positions 524 to 776 of the family's 1533-position model. The record is from RNAcentral.
UACGUAGGGUGCGAGCGUUAAUCGGAAUUACUGGGCGUAAAGCGUGCGCAGGCGGUGAUGUAAGACAGAUGUGAAAUCCCCGGGCUUAACCUGGGAAUGGCGAUGGUGACUGCAAGGCUAGAGUUUGGCAGAGGGGGGUAGAAUUCCACGUGUAGCAGUGAAAUGCGUAGAGAUGUGGAGGAACACCGAUGGCGAAGGCAGCCCCCUGGGUCAAAACUGACGCUCAUGCACGAAAGCGUGGGGAGCAAACAGG